CAGUCGCCGCGGGAAUACGGAGGGGGCUAGCGUUGUUCGGAAUUACUGGGCGUAAAGCGCACGUAGGCGGCUUGGUAAGUUAGAGGUGAAAGCCCGGAGCUCAACUCCGGAAUUGUCUUUAAGACUGCCGAGCUAGCAGGUGAGAGAGGUAAGUGGAAUUCCGAGUGUAGAGGUGAAAUUCGUAGAUAUUCGGAGGAACACCAGUGGCGAAGGCGGCUCACUGGUCCAUUACUGACGCUGAGGUGCGAAAGCGUGGGGAGCAAACAGGAUUAGAUACCCCAGUAGUCCCUGUCUCUUAUAC
This 301-nucleotide ribosomal RNA is filed under the name uncultured bacterium. RNAcentral describes it as "partial 16S ribosomal RNA". It matches the Rfam family "Bacterial small subunit ribosomal RNA", at positions 509 to 807 of the family's 1533-position model. The record is from RNAcentral.